This 74-nucleotide transfer RNA is filed under the name Ictidomys tridecemlineatus (thirteen-lined ground squirrel). RNAcentral describes it as "Spermophilus tridecemlineatus (thirteen-lined ground squirrel) tRNA". It matches the Rfam family "tRNA". From Rfam's summary of the family: Transfer RNA (tRNA) molecules are approximately 80 nucleotides in length. Their secondary structure includes four short double-helical elements and three loops (D, anti-codon, and T loops). Lineage: Eukaryota; Metazoa; Chordata; Mammalia; Rodentia; Sciuridae. The record is from Rfam by way of RNAcentral.
GGGGAUAUAGCUUAGUUGGUAGCAUGGCUUGUCUCCCAUGCAUAAGGCCCUGGGUUCAAUCCCCACCAUCCCCA